Molecule: long non-coding RNA, 427 nt
Filed under: Zostera marina
Lineage: Eukaryota; Viridiplantae; Streptophyta; Magnoliopsida; Alismatales; Zosteraceae
Description: long non-coding RNA (ZMAR_LNC002824)
Source: RNAcentral
UUCUUUUCUAGUUACAGAGUAUUAAAUGUGGUACAAAACCGUAUUUAACUAUAAAUAUCAUUUAUGAAGGUUGAUUGAUCAAUAUGAUCUUUUAUUUAUACUCUUUAUAUUUAUAAAAUGAUUUAAAAUUGAUUUUUUAGUCAAUUUGAUAAUAUCUAUUGUUUAUUCAAUCAAUUACUUUAAUAAAUUCAUUAUUGCCUUCUUUUGUAAUUACAGAGUAUUAAAUGUGUUACAAAACCGUAUUUAACUAAAAAUAUCAUUUAUGAAGGUUGAUUGAUCAAUAUGAUCUUUUAUAUAUUUUCUUUAUAUUUAUAAAAUGAUUUAAAAUUUAUUAUUUAAUCAAUUUGUUUAAUAUCUAUUGUUAAUUCAAAUGAUUACUACAAUAAAUCCAUUUGUUGCUUUCUUUUCUAAUUACAGAGUAUUAAAU